GAUGAACGCUAGCUACAGGCUUAACACAUGCAAGUCGAGGGGCAGCAUGGUCUUAGCUUGCUAAGGCCGAUGGCGACCGGCGCACGGGUGAGUAACACGUAUCCAACCUGCCGUCUACUCUUGGACAGCCUUCUGAAAGGAAGAUUAAUACAAGAUGGCAUCAUGAGUCCGCAUGUUCACAUGAUUAAAGGUAUUCCGGUAGACGAUGGGGAUGCGUUCCAUUAGAUAGUAGGCGGGGUAACGGCCCACCUAGUCUUCGAUGGAUAGGGGUUCUGAGAGGAAGGUCCCCCACAUUGGAACUGAGACACGGUCCAAACUCCUACGGGAGGCAGCAGUGAGGAAUAUUGGUCAAUGGGCGAGAGCCUGAACCAGCCAAGUAGCGUGAAGGAUGACUGCCCUAUGGGUUGUAAACUUCUUUUAUAAAGGAAUAAAGUCGGGUAUGCAUACCCGUUUGCAUGUACUUUAUGAAUAAGGAUCGGCUAACUCCGU
RNAcentral lists this ribosomal RNA (489 nucleotides) under uncultured bacterium. Its description in RNAcentral is "bacterial SSU rRNA". It matches the Rfam family "Bacterial small subunit ribosomal RNA", at positions 28 to 506 of the family's 1533-position model. The record is from RNAcentral.